This 845-nucleotide ribosomal RNA is filed under the name uncultured bacterium. RNAcentral describes it as "bacterial SSU rRNA". It matches the Rfam family "Bacterial small subunit ribosomal RNA", at positions 60 to 896 of the family's 1533-position model. The record is from RNAcentral.
AGUCGACGGAGAUACGCGCUGAAUGGAUGGAGCUUGCUUUUGAAAUUCUUGUGUAUCUUAGUGGCGGACGGGUGAGUAACGCGUGAGCAACCUGCCUUUCAGAGGGGGAUAACGUUUGGAAACGAACGCUAAUACCGCAUGAGACCACAGUACUGCAUAGUACAGUAGCCAAAGGAGCAAUCCGCUGAAAGAUGGGCUCGCGUCCGAUUAGAUAGUUGGCGGGGUAACGGCCCACCAAGUCGACGAUCGGUAGCCGGACUGAGAGGUUGAACGGCCACAUUGGGACUGAGACACGGCCCAGACUCCUACGGGAGGCAGCAGUGAGGGAUAUUGGUCAAUGGGGGAAACCCUGAACCAGCAACGCCGCGUGAGGGAAGACGGUUUUCGGAUUGUAAACCUCUGUCCUCUGUGAAGAUAAUGACGGUAGCAGAGGAGGAAGCUCCGGCUAACUACGUGCCAGCAGCCGCGGUAAUACGUAGGGAGCAAGCGUUGUCCGGAUUUACUGGGUGUAAAGGGUGCGUAGGCGGCCCUGCAAGUCAGAAGUGAAAUCCAUGGGCUUAACCCGUGAACUGCUUUUGAAACUGCAGGACUUGAGUGGAGUAGAGGUAGGCGGAAUUCCCGGUGUAGCGGUGAAAUGCGUAGAGAUCGGGAGGAACACCAGUGGCGAAGGCGGCCUACUGGGCUUUAACUGACGCUGAAGCACGAAAGCGUGGGUAGCAAACAGGAUUAGAUACCCUGGUAGUCCACGCCGUAAACGAUGAUUACUAGGUGUGGGGGGUCUGACCCCCUCCGUGCCGGAGUUAACACAAUAAGUAAUCCACCUGGGGAGUACGGCCGCAAGGCUG